GAUUCAUGAUAACUUUACGGAUCGCAUGGCCUUGCGCCGGCGACGGUUCAUUCAAAUUUCUGCCCUAUCAACUUUCGAUGGUAAGGUAUUGGCUUACCAUGGUUUCAACGGGUAACGGGGAAUUAGGGUUCGAUUCCGGAGAGGGAGCCUGAGAAACGGCUACCACAUCCAAGGAAGGCAGCAGGCGCGCAAAUUACCCAAUCCCGAUACGGGGAGGUAGUGACAAUAAAUACUGAUACAGGGCUCUUUUGGGUCUUGUAAUUGGAAUGAGUACAAUUUAAACCUCUUAACGAGGAACAAUUGGAGGGCAAGUCUGGUGCCAGCACCCGCGGUAAUUCCAGCUCCAAUAGCGUAUAUUAAAGUUGUUGCAGUUAAAAAGCUCGUAGUUGAAACUUGGGUCUGGCUGGCAGGUCCGCCUCACCGCGUGUACUUGUCCGGCCGGACCUUCCUUCUGGAGAACCUCAUGCCCUUCACUGGGCGUGUUGGGGACCAGGACUUUUACUUUGAAAAAAUUAGAGUGUUCAAAGCAGGCCUUUGCUCGAAUACGUUAGCAUGGAAUAAUAGAAUAGGACGUGCGGUUCUAUUUUGUUGGUUUCUAGGACCGCCGUAAUGAUUAAUAGGGACAGUCGGGGGCAUCAGUAUUCAAUUGUCAGAGGUGAAAUUCUUGGAUUUAUUGAAGACUAACUACUGCGAAAGCAUUU
This 701-nucleotide ribosomal RNA is filed under the name Neopyrenochaeta sp. RNAcentral describes it as "SSU rRNA". It matches the Rfam family "Eukaryotic small subunit ribosomal RNA", at positions 248 to 956 of the family's 1831-position model. Lineage: Eukaryota; Fungi; Ascomycota; Dothideomycetes; Pleosporales; Neopyrenochaetaceae. The record is from RNAcentral.